UCUCGGUUAGUAUAGUGGUUAGUAUCCCCGCCUGUCAGGUUAUCCAGCACGCGGGAGACCGGGGUUCAAUUCCCCGACCGAGAG
RNAcentral lists this transfer RNA (84 nucleotides) under Glomus cerebriforme. It matches the Rfam family "tRNA". Rfam says of the family: Transfer RNA (tRNA) molecules are approximately 80 nucleotides in length. Their secondary structure includes four short double-helical elements and three loops (D, anti-codon, and T loops). The record is from Rfam by way of RNAcentral. Lineage: Eukaryota; Fungi; Glomeromycota; Glomeromycetes; Glomerales; Glomeraceae.